This 212-nucleotide unclassified non-coding RNA is filed under the name uncultured Penicillium. Its description in RNAcentral is "sequence contains ITS1". The record is from RNAcentral. Lineage: Eukaryota; Fungi; Ascomycota; Eurotiomycetes; Eurotiales; Aspergillaceae.
AUUACCGAGUGAGGGCCCUCUGGGUCCAACCUCCCACCCGUGUUUUCCGAACCCUGUUGCUUCGGCGGGCCCGCCUCACGGCCGCCGGGGGGCUUCUGCCCCCGGGCCCGCGCCCGCCGAAGACACCUGUGAACGCUGUCUGAAGUUGCAGUCUGAGAAACUAGCUAAAUUAGUUAAAACUUUCAACAACGGAUCUCUUGGUUCCGGCAUCG